This 301-nucleotide ribosomal RNA is filed under the name uncultured bacterium. RNAcentral's name for it is "partial 16S ribosomal RNA". It matches the Rfam family "Bacterial small subunit ribosomal RNA", at positions 509 to 807 of the family's 1533-position model. The record is from RNAcentral.
CAGUAGCCGCGGUAAGACAGAGGAUGCAAGCGUUAUUCGGAUUGACUGGGCGUAAAGCGUCUGUAGGUGGCUUUUCAAGUCCGAUGUCAAAUCCCAGAGCUUAACUCUGGACAGGCAUUGGAGACUACCAAGCUGGAGUAUGGUAGGGGCAGAGAGAAUUCCCGGUGUAGCGGUGAAAUGCGUAGAGAUCGGAAAGAAUACCAACGGCGAAAGCAGUCUUCUGGGCCAACACUGACACUGAGAGACGAAAGCUAGGGGAGCAAACGGGAUUAGAUACCCCAGUAGUCCCUGUCUCUUAUAC